This 253-nucleotide ribosomal RNA is filed under the name uncultured bacterium. RNAcentral describes it as "partial 16S ribosomal RNA". It matches the Rfam family "Bacterial small subunit ribosomal RNA", at positions 524 to 776 of the family's 1533-position model. The record is from RNAcentral.
UACGGAGGGUGCAAGCGUUAUCCGGAUUCACUGGGUUUAAAGGGUGCGUAGGUGGGCAUUUAAGUCAGUGGUGAAAUCUCCGGGCUUAACCCGGAAACUGCCAUUGAUACUAUUUGUCUUGAAUAUUGUGGAGGUAAGCGGAAUAUGUCAUGUAGCGGUGAAAUGCUUAGAUAUGACAUAGAACACCCAUUGCGAAGGCAGCUUACUACGCAAAUAUUGACACUGAGGCACGAAAGCGUGGGGAUCAAACAGG